GACGAACGCUGGCGGCGUGCCUAACACAUGCAAGUCGAACGGAAAGGCCCCAUUGGGGGUCCUCUAGUGGCGAACGGGUGCGUAACACGGGAGUAACCUUCCCUUUACUCUGUGACAACUUCAGGAAACUGGGGCUAAUACCGGUAAGGCAUCCUUGCUGCUACGUGGGGGUUGGAAAGAUCUUGCGGUGUUGGAUGGACUGGCGGCUCAACAGCUUGUUGGUGGGGUAGUGGCUUACCAGGGCUAUGACGGGUAGCCGGCCUGAGAGUGCGACCGGCUACAUUGGGACUGAGAGGCGGCCCAGACUCCGACGGGAGGCAGCAGUGGGGAAGAUUGCACAAUGGGCGGAGGCCGGAUGCAGCAACGCCACGUGCGGGAUGACGGCCUUCGGGUUGUAGACCGCUUUCAGCAGGGGCGAAGCUUGUGGUGACGGUACCUGCAGAAGAAGCACCGGCUAACUACGUG
Molecule: ribosomal RNA, 465 nt
Filed under: uncultured bacterium
Lineage: Bacteria
Description: partial 16S ribosomal RNA
Rfam family: Bacterial small subunit ribosomal RNA
Source: RNAcentral